AGAGUUUGAUCAUGGCUCAGAGCGAACGCUGGCGGCAGGCUUAACACAUGCAAGUCGAACGGGCGUAGCAAUACGUCAGUGGCAGACGGGUGAGUAACGCGUGGGAACAUACCUCUUGGUUCGGAACAACACAGGGAAACUUGUGCUAAUACCGGAUAAGCCCUUACGGGGAAAGAUUUAUCGCCGAGAGAUUGGCCCGCGUCUGAUUAGCUAGUUGGUAGGGUAAUGGCCUACCAAGGCGACGAUCAGUAGCUGGUCUGAGAGGAUGAUCAGCCACAUUGGGACUGAGACACGGCCCAAACUCCUACGGGAGGCAGCAGUGGGGAAUAUUGGACAAUGGGCGCAAGCCUGAUCCAGCCAUGCCGCGUGAGUGAUGAAGGCCCUAGGGUUGUAAAGCUCUUUUGUACGGGAAGAUAAUGACGGUACCGUAAGAAUAAGCCCCGGCUAACUUCGUGCCAGCAGCCGCGGUAAUACGAAGGGGGCUAGCGUUGCUCGGAAUCACUGGGCGUAAAGGGUGCGUAGGCGGGUUUUUAAGUCAGAGGUGAAAUCCUGGAGCUCAACUCCAGAACUGCCUUUGAUACUGAAAGUCUUGAGUAUGGGAGAGGUGAGUGGAACUGCGAGUGUAGAGGUGAAAUUCGUAGAUAUUCGCAAGAACACCAGUGGCGAAGGCGGCUCACUGGCCCAUAACUGACGCUGAGGCACGAAAGCGUGGGGAGCAAACAGGAUUAGAUACCCUAGUAGUCC
RNAcentral lists this ribosomal RNA (744 nucleotides) under uncultured bacterium. RNAcentral describes it as "bacterial SSU rRNA". It matches the Rfam family "Bacterial small subunit ribosomal RNA", at positions 8 to 796 of the family's 1533-position model. The record is from RNAcentral.